ACACUCCUCAAUCAAUAAUGCCGCCUUAUCUGCCUUCUAAAGAAAGGAUAAAUGGAAAAAGGAAGGAAGGAAAGCCACCCGUCCUGCAAAGAUGCCCAUAUCCUUGUGCUGUUACCUUUCUGGAUUCUGCCCGUUGCCUGAAAAGCUGACAGGAUCUGAAGGGGAUCAAACUCUGGUGUUCUGGCUUGCAAGGCAAACGUUGUGAGAGCCAAAAAGGUAUGUUUUAAGUUUUAAUUACUGUGCCUAAGAGAUCCAUGGAACAAAAAACUGUUGCUAACCUUUAAGUGUCUUGCCCAAGGACAGAUCUUUCCCCGAAAUGUUAGAAGCUAUUGCUUCUGGGAGAAGACAAGCCACAUGCUUCACUCCCCUAAACAAGUUUGUUUGGCUCAACCGUACUGGAUGUAGGUGUGAGGUAUGUAGGCAGAAUGUAUGCUUGCCCCUGAUUGGAUGUAAGUGGGAGGUACACAGACAGGAAGUGCUUCAGGAUAUAUGCUUGCCUCUGAUUGGACCUGCUGGGAAAAAUCUAACUUUAUGGGUUUGUCUUUAUAAGCCUCUGCAAAAUAUAUGACUUGUAGACAUUUUCUGGGAACCCAGGAAUGGACCUGGCUAGAGUCCAUCAUCUUGGCCAGUAUUCAAUUAAUUGCUUCAAAUAUGGCUCAAGACUGUGGUAGUGGUCUUACUCUUGCCAGUGGGAUUAGCAACGUCGAUUGAGUUAUCACUUUUUAUACUUGGCCCUGUGUCCUAGAGGGAACCAUCAAGUAAGCAGCCAUCGGAUAACUGAGAUUAUCUUUAAGCCUAGUUAAGGAACACACCCUCAAAGGGAGUCUAUGGGUCGGUAAGACUGUUUGAAAUUUAGAGGAUUGUCCAUGUCAAAGCAGGGCCUGUUGUAGGUAGGUACACUGGCUGGCAGGGAGUCCUGAGGGUUCCCAAAUAAAGCAAAGAUGUGAGUAAAGAGAAGGCAUGAGUACCCCUGAGCUGGAGUUACAGAAUUCUG
Molecule: long non-coding RNA, 994 nt
Filed under: Mus caroli (Ryukyu mouse)
Lineage: Eukaryota; Metazoa; Chordata; Mammalia; Rodentia; Muridae
Description: lncRNA (MGP_CAROLIEiJ_G0005396.1)
Source: RNAcentral